Molecule: ribosomal RNA, 249 nt
Filed under: uncultured bacterium
Lineage: Bacteria
Description: partial 16S ribosomal RNA
Rfam family: Bacterial small subunit ribosomal RNA
Source: RNAcentral
UACGUAGGGUGCGAGCGUUGUCCGGAAUUACUGGGCGUAAAGGGUGCGCAGGCGGUUAUAUAAGACAGAUGUGAAAUCCCCGGGCUCAACCUGGGAACUGCAUUGGUGACUGGCAGGCUUUGAGUGUGGCAGAGGGAGGUAGAAUUCCACGUGUAGCAGUGAAAUGCGUAGAGAUGUGGAGGAAUACCGAUGGCGAAGGCAGCCUCCUGGGCCAACACUGACGCUCAUGCACGAAAGCGUGGGGAGCAA